AAUAGAUACCCAGGUAGUCCACGCCGUAAACGAUGUCGACUUGGAGGUUGUGCCCUUGAGGCGUGGCUUCCGGAGCUAACGCGUUAAGUCGACCGCCUGGGGAGUACGGCCGCAAGGUUAAAACUCAAAUGAAUUGACGGGGGCCCGCACAAGCGGUGGAGCAUGUGGUUUAAUUCGAUGCAACGCGAAGAACCUUACCUACUCUUGACAUCCAGAGAACUUAGCAGAGAUGCUUUGGUGCCUUCGGGAACUCUGAGACAGGUGCUGCAUGGCUGUCGUCAGCUCGUGUUGUGAAAUGUUGGGUUAAGUCCCGCAACGAGCGCAACCCUUAUCCUUUGUUGCCAGCGGUUAGGCCGGGAACUCAAAGGAGACUGCCAGUGAUAAACUGGAGGAAGGUGGGGAUGACGUCAAGUCAUCAUGGCCCUUACGAGUAGGGCUACACACGUGCUACAAUGGCGCAUACAAAGAGAAGCGACCUCGCGAGAGCAAGCGGACCUCAUAAAGUGCGUCGUAGUCCGGAUUGGAGU
This 527-nucleotide ribosomal RNA is filed under the name uncultured bacterium. RNAcentral's name for it is "bacterial SSU rRNA". It matches the Rfam family "Bacterial small subunit ribosomal RNA", at positions 777 to 1304 of the family's 1533-position model. The record is from RNAcentral.